CCCUUAGAUGUUCUGGGCUGCACGCGCGCUACACUGAUGCGUUCAACGAGUUUAUGACCUUGCCCGAUAGGGUUGGGUAAUCUUUUUAAAUCGCAUCGUGAUGGGGAUAGAUUAUUGCAAUUAUUAAUCUUCAACGAGGAAUUCCUAGUAAGCGCAAGUCAUCAGCUUGCGUUGAUUACGUCCCUGCCCUUUGUACACACCGCCCGUCGCUCCUACCGAUUGAAUGGUCCGGUGAAGCGUUCGGACCGUGGCCUUUGGACGGUUCGCCGUCUGUUGGCUGCGGGAAGUUCGUUAAACCUUAUCAUUUAGAGGAAGGAGAAGUCGUAACA
Molecule: ribosomal RNA, 329 nt
Filed under: uncultured eukaryote
Lineage: Eukaryota
Description: partial 18S ribosomal RNA
Rfam family: Eukaryotic small subunit ribosomal RNA
Source: RNAcentral